Molecule: ribosomal RNA, 770 nt
Filed under: Klebsiella michiganensis
Lineage: Bacteria; Pseudomonadati; Pseudomonadota; Gammaproteobacteria; Enterobacterales; Enterobacteriaceae
Description: partial 23S ribosomal RNA
Rfam family: Bacterial large subunit ribosomal RNA
Source: RNAcentral
GGGACACGUGGUAUCCUGUCUGAAUAUGGGGGGACCAUCCUCCAAGGCUAAAUACUCCUGACUGACCGAUAGUGAACCAGUACCGUGAGGGAAAGGCGAAAAGAACCCCGGCGAGGGGAGUGAAAAAGAACCUGAAACCGUGUACGUACAAGCAGUAGGAGCCCACUGGUUGGGUGACUGCGUACCUUUUGUAUAAUGGGUCAGCGACUUAUAUUCUGUAGCAAGGUUAACCGUAUAGGGGAGCCGCAGGGAAACCGAGUCUUAACUGGGCGUUAAGUUGCAGGGUAUAGACCCGAAACCCGGUGAUCUAGCCAUGGGCAGGUUGAAGGUUGGGUAACACUAACUGGAGGACCGAACCGACUAAUGUUGAAAAAUUAGCGGAUGACUUGUGGCUGGGGGUGAAAGGCCAAUCAAACCGGGAGAUAGCUGGUUCUCCCCGAAAGCUAUUUAGGUAGCGCCUCGUGAACUCAUCUUCGGGGGUAGAGCACUGUUUCGGCUAGGGGGUCAUCCCGACUUACCAACCCGAUGCAAACUACGAAUACCGAAGAAUGUUAUCACGGGAGACACACGGCGGGUGCUAACGUCCGUCGUGAAGAGGGAAACAACCCAGACCGCCAGCUAAGGUCCCAAAGUCAUGGUUAAGUGGGAAACGAUGUGGGAAGGCCCAGACAGCCAGGAUGUUGGCUUAGAAGCAGCCAUCAUUUAAAGAAAGCGUAAUAGCUCACUGGUCGAGUCGGCCUGCGCGGAAGAUGUAACGGGGCUAAACCAUG